RNAcentral lists this ribosomal RNA (479 nucleotides) under uncultured bacterium. Its description in RNAcentral is "bacterial SSU rRNA". It matches the Rfam family "Bacterial small subunit ribosomal RNA", at positions 335 to 799 of the family's 1533-position model. The record is from RNAcentral.
ACUCCUACGGGAGGCAGCAGUGGGGGAAUAUUGGACAAUGGGGGCGAACCCUCGAUCCAGCCAUGCCGCGUGUGUGAAGAAGGCCUUUGGUUGUAAAGCACUUUAAGCAGGGAGGAGAGGCUAAUGGUUAAUACCCAUUAGAUUAGACGUUACCUGCAGAAUAAGCACCGGCUAACUCUGUGCCAGCAGCCGCGGGUAAUACAGAGGGGUGCGAGCGUUAAUCGGAAUUACUGGGCGUAAAGCGAGUGUAGGUGGCUCAUUAAGUCACAUGUGAAAUCCCCGGGGCUUAACCUGGGAACUGCAUGUGAUACUGGUGGUGCUAGAAUAUGUGAGAGGGAAGUAGAAUUCCAGGUGUAGCGGUGAAAUGCGUAGAGAUCUGGAGGAAUACCGAUGGCGAAGGCAGCUUCCUGGCAUAAUAUUGACACUGAGAUUCGAAAGCGUGGGUAGCAAACAGGAUUAGAUACCCUGGUAGGAUAGCG